This 437-nucleotide ribosomal RNA is filed under the name uncultured Clostridiales Family IV bacterium. Its description in RNAcentral is "bacterial SSU rRNA". It matches the Rfam family "Bacterial small subunit ribosomal RNA", at positions 341 to 792 of the family's 1533-position model. Lineage: Bacteria; Bacillati; Bacillota; Clostridia; Eubacteriales; Eubacteriales Family IV. Incertae Sedis. The record is from RNAcentral.
ACGGGAGGCAGCAGUGGGGAAUAUUGGGCAAUGGGGGAAACCCUGACCCAGCAACGCCGCGUGAAGGAAGAAGGCCUUCGGGUUGUAAACUUCUUUUACCAGGGAAGAAGAAAGUGACGGUACCUGGAGAAAAAGCCACGGCUAACUACGUGCCAGCAGCCGCGGUAAUACGUAGGUGGCAAGCGUUGUCCGGAUUUACUGGGUGUAAAGGGUGCGCAGGCGGGACUGCAAGUUGGAUGUGAAAUACCGAGGCUCAACCUCGGAGCUGCAUCCAAAACUGUAGUUCUUGAGUGGAGUAGAGGUAAGCGGAAUUCCGAGUGUAGCGGUGAAAUGCGUAGAUAUUCGGAGGAACACCAGUGGCGAAGGCGGCUUACUGGGCUCUAACUGACGCUGAGGCACGAAAGUGUGGGUAGCAAACAGGAUUAGAUACCCUGGUA